Molecule: ribosomal RNA, 511 nt
Filed under: uncultured bacterium
Lineage: Bacteria
Description: partial 16S ribosomal RNA
Source: RNAcentral
GGAGUUAGCCGGUGCUUCUUCUGCGAGUAACGUCACAGAUGUAAGGUAUUAACUUACACCCUUUCCUCCUCGCUGAAAGUGCUUUACAACCCGAAGGCCUUCUUCACACACGCGGCAUGGCUGCAUCAGGGUUUCCCACAUUGUGCAAUAUUCCCCACUGCUGCCUCCCGUAGGAGUCUGGGCCGUGUCUCAGUCCCAGUGUGGCUGAUCAUCCUCUCAGACCAGCUAGGGAUCGUCGCCUAGGUGAGCCUUUACCUCACCUACUAGCUAAUCCCACCUGGGCUUAUCCAUCAGCGCAAGGCCCGAAGGUCCCCUGCUUUCCCCCGUAGGGCGUAUGCGGUAUUAGCAGUCGUUUCCAACUGUUAUCCCCCACAAAUGGGCAAAUUCCCAGGCAUUACUCACCCGUCCGCCGCUCGUCAUCUUCAAAAGCAAGCUUUUGAAAUGUUACCGAUCGACUUGCAUGUGUUAGGCCUGCCGCCAGCGUUCAAUCUGAGCCAGAAUCAAACUCUGA